Molecule: long non-coding RNA, 3630 nt
Filed under: Sorghum bicolor (sorghum)
Lineage: Eukaryota; Viridiplantae; Streptophyta; Magnoliopsida; Poales; Poaceae
Description: long non-coding RNA (SBIC_LNC018000)
Source: RNAcentral
GCCUCCGCUUCGGUCUCGUGGCUUCUGGAGUCUUCUAGAUGUAAGAUAAUUGCGCGGCACGUUAAUAUCUCUAUGUAAUCCCGACGUGUGGGUCUUUCUUCCAUAUUUCGUGAUAACCCCCUGCAGAAAUAGACAAACACCAAAACUCGUGGAAUUCUGUCAGAUAAAAGCCUAAGUCUAGAUGUUGAUUUCAUUUGGAUCCUUUUCUUUAUUUAUUUGAUAAUUAAAUUUGAUACUUAAAGACCCUCAACAAACUCCCCCAAGCUUACCUCUUGCUCGUCCCUAAGCAAAGAUAGACUCAACUAUGGAUCAUAUGUUGUUGCAAUAUCUUAAAAAAAUUGACGGUACACAUGCUUUUUAAAUAAAAUCUCAUCUCUGAGUUAGAGUAAACUGUCAAGACUUAAAACUUACUUACUUUACCUUCACCAUGGGACUUGUAACCGUCACUUCUAUAUUGAGUAGUUAAAAGAUAGAAGAGUCUAGCCAAGUGCCAUGUCUCUUAUUCUUGAUCAGCUAUAGCUCUGAAGUUUUUGCAGAUUUUCAAAUAAAACUCAGAGAUUCCCUGUAUGACUCUCUCAGAUCUCUCUUUUGUGGUAUUUCUAGAUCCUUACCAAGGCAGUGAUGGUAUAUGCCUUCUCUCAAGAUAUGUAGUAUUUGUGGUAUAAAGCAUAGUGACAUUGCCUUCUCUCUCACCCUACUCUAAUAAGGCUUUAAUAUCUAGAGCUCAUAGGUGGGAGAUAAAAGUAUACAUACUUACAAGACAUUUAUUGCAUAGUCAAACCAUGGAUCCAAAGAAACAAAUCAAUAAGUCAAAUCAAGAUGUGCAUGUGUGGCGAAUGAAUGGUGUAUGGUGAUGAUGGUGAUAACAAUGGUGAAAACAAUGGUGGUGGAAGUCUAAUUCUACUUUUGCUCUUUGAGGGGAUACAUACCUUCCUUGCUUUUUGAAACUUUAUGAGGAGAAUGAGAUGCUCUUCUUUUUCUUUUCUCUCAGGUGGGUAUCUUGUACCCCUAAUUCUACUGUCGGACACUUAUCCAUUUUUACCUCUCGUCUCACUUUUUCUUUUCUUUCAAGGUUCCGAGCACUUGCUCCUUUUUAUUUCCUCGUAUUUUUUUUUCUUCCUCUCUUUUUUUUAGAGCACUCAUCUCUUGAGAUAAUAUAGCAAGUGGUAGUAACAAGAUAACUUGAGCAUUUAUUUCACAAGGGAAAACAGAAAUAUUUUUGGUUAUUCUCUCUCGGAUUAGGAGUAGAAUAUUUUUGGAUGAUUCUAGAGAUGGAAUGGGUGGAUAUAUGUGGAUGGUACUUCCGGAGUAGAAGUAGCAUAUAUGAGUGAACGUGCAAGUGAAAUCUUGAUUUAACCACAUGACAAGCUCCUAAGGGUCUACACAGCUUGACCACACUCAAUGCUCAUAAGCAGUAAAUAGUAAAUGUGUGGCUCAAAGUCUAGCAAGCAUGUAUAUAUGGCUGUGGUAGGAAUUUAAACUCUCAUCAUACAGGAACUCAUCAUGCAACAUUUUGAAGAUUUUUUUUCAAAGAUAAAAUUCUCCAGAAUUCUAGCAUCUCUAGGAACAGAUAAACAGCAGCUCAACCUUCCCAUAUCAUAUCCGUUAACAACUUAGAUUUCAGAUCAAGUUUUCAUCCCACAAGUUUAGGUCUAGAGCAAGCCUUAAAUUAUAACAGUUAUGUCCAAACUUGAGAGAGAACUUAAAAUGUGCAAAUUAGGCAGAGCAACUAUUCAUCAUAUCCAUGCUUGAGUUUUAUUAUUAAGAUACAGAUUAGCAUAGCCACUUUAUUUAUUUAUUAAACACACUAAGCAAAAGAUAUAUAUAUAUAUAUAUAUAUAUAAGCAUAAAAUCUUUAUUUGAUUUUUCCAUAGUUAUGUAUAUUUAUAUUCUAAAAUAGUAUAAGUAUAAAGAUAGAUAGAUAGAAAUACUUAUCGGGAUAAAUGGGGGUGCUCUCCCCCAAGCUGAAUUUUGACGUAAUUUCUCUUGAUGUAGCUAGCAGGUGGCAGAGGUGUAUUUGAAAGUCAGCAGCAUUCUGACAGCGAUUAGAAUGUCCUCCGUCUGCUAGUCUUCUUACAUUCUGUGGAGCUCAAAUAGACAACAAAGCUUGUGGAACUGAUUAAGUGUUAGCCUAAAUAUCUAGCCUUUAUCAUGUUGAGACUCAUUAAUAAUUAUUACUUCCUGUUUUUAUAUUUUUGUUUUAUAAAGCAAAAAAGAAAUUUUUAUUUUAUUUUUAUGCCACCACAGUGAAUGUACUUAUGGGUUUUAUGCCACUCGUCUACUCACAUGGGGCUUACUGUUUUUCACAUUUUUAUUUUCUUUUUAGGAUAGCACGAACAUGAUUAAUUAAGUAAACUAGUUAAAAUAAUUGAAAGGGGAAAUGAUAACUACCAAGUUUACCUCUUGGCAAGGCGUUCGGUGUUUUUAAGUCCUCCGAACGGGACUCUCCAUUUUCUCAAUUGUCCUGGGAUUCGUUGGGUGGCGUAGUCGGUACUUCCGGCAGUGCCUCCUCUUCAUGUAUAGUUAUCUUCUCUUUCCAUACCUGACUCGGUGCUACGGUCUCCUCUGGAUAGUUUUGUUUAAACUCUACAUCUUCUGACCUUAUCACUUCUCCUUCAUAGUCUGCCCAUCCGUCCUUGAUGAUCUGCCUCCUCUGGUUGCGGUUGCGUCAUUUCCUUACCUGCUUAGAUUCUUCAACGAUAUAGUUAGGGUCAGUAAAAUAACGGCGUACCUUCUCUGAGGGGAAGUGCAUAUGGACUUCUCCGGUUCCAAUGUAGAUGAUUGCUUUAACGGUGCUGAGGAACGGUCUUCCAAGGAUGAUGGGUGGAUCGUAUUCAUCUUCUCCCAUGUCAAUAACCUGAAAGUCUGUGUAGACAAAGUGAUCGUCUAUUUUGACUGGGACAUCAGUUACUAUUCCUUUAACUUCUCGAAAUGUCUGAUCUGCCAUCUGGAGUUGAAUGUAUGUUGGUCUUAGUGGCAUGGUUCCGAACAAGAGCCGUGUUGACACCGUUUUUGGGCACGUGUCCAGGAUGACAGGAUAGGGUGGCAGUACAAUGCGGGUUGCUGAUGAGGAUGGUUGCCGAUGAGGGAAAGGUUGAAUGUGACUACAUCCACAGGCGGUAAUAUGGUGCCGAUGGCUGGGUGAAAAGGUCUGCCGAUGACUACGGCAAGGGGAUUGCCGAUGACGCGAAGGAGGAGUCUGGAAGCUGCCAGUUGUUAUCUGGAGGAGUUUCGGUUUGUCACGAAGGAUAGUUUUAUUAUUUCCUUAGUUGUUUGCAUCGUUUUGUAUACGGAUUCCGUGUAAUUUGGAAUUCGAAUUCUAAUCGUGUCUGGUCGUAGCUCUUUGAGCAGGGUAUAAAUAUAAACCCUAGGACCUUGUAAUCAAGAUAUCAAGAAAUCAAUCAAACACACGUUUUUACUCAUAUUCCAGCAUUUACUUUUCGACGACUUCGUCAUACUUUUUUCCUUUUAUUACGAGUUCUUAGGAAUUCGUCGACUUAAGCUCGGCGUGUUCUCGAGUUCCGCGUGAGUACCUCUUAGCCGUGACAUCCGGGCGCAUCGCUGUUGUCAGGACUAAAGUAUUCGAGUUAUCACCUUUGCCGAUAGCAAGGUUAAAUCGGCUGGCACGCC